This 649-nucleotide ribosomal RNA is filed under the name uncultured Ascomycota. RNAcentral describes it as "LSU rRNA". It matches the Rfam family "Eukaryotic large subunit ribosomal RNA", at positions 581 to 1234 of the family's 3401-position model. Lineage: Eukaryota; Fungi; Ascomycota. The record is from RNAcentral.
GAAAUGCGGCCAGCCUGGACUGAGGUCCGCGCUUUGGCUAGGAUGCUGGCGUAAUGGUUGUAAGCGGCCCGUCUUGAAACACGGACCAAGGAGUCUAACAUCUGUGCGAGUGUUUGGGUGUUAAACCCGUACGCGUAAUGAAAGUGAACGGAGGCGGGAACCCCCCGGGGUGCACCGUCGACCGAUCCUGAUGUCUUCGGAUGGAUUUGAGUAAGAGCAUAGCUGUUGGGACCCGAAAGAUGGUGAACUAUGCCUGAAUAGGGUGAAGCCAGAGGAAACUCUGGUGGAGGCUCGCAGCGGUUCUGACGUGCAAAUCGAUCGUCAAAUUUGGGCAUAGGGGCGAAAGACUAAUCGAACUAUCUAGUAGCUGGUUCCUGCCGAAGUUUCCCUCAGGAUAGCAGUAACGUUUUCAGUUUUAUGAGGUAAAGCGAAUGAUUAGAGGCCUGGGGGUUGAAACAACCUUCACCUAUUCUCAAACUUUAAAUAUGUAAGAAGUCCUUGUUGCUCAGUUGAACGUGGACAUUUGAAUGUAUCGUUACUAGUGGGCCAUUUUUGGUAAGCAGAACUGGCGAUGCGGGAUGAACCGAACGCGGAGUUAAGGUGCCGGAAUGCACGCUCAUCAGACACCACAAAAGGUGUUGGUUCAUCU